CUGGCGGUUGCUUACCAUGCAAGUCGACGGUAACANCNAGAGCUUGCUCUUGNCUGACGAGUGGCGGACGGGUGAGUNACGCGUGGGAAUCUGCCUACUANCGGGGGAUANCCCGGAGAAAUCCGGAUUAAUACCGCAUAANCCCUACGGGGGAAAGCUGGGGAUCUUCGGACCUGGCACUAGUAGAUGAGCCCGCGUUAGAUUAGCUUGUUGGUGGGGUAAUGGCCUACCAAGGCAACGAUCUAUAGCUGGUCUGAGAGGACGAUCAGCCACACUGGGACUGAGACACGGCCCAGACUCCUACGGGAGGCAGCAGUGGGGAAUAUUGCACAAUGGGCGCAAGCCUGAUGCAGCAAUACCGCGUGUGUGAAGAAGGCCUGAGGGUUGUAAAGCACUUUCAAUAGUGAGGAAAUGCUCUUGGUUAAUAACCUUGAGUUUUGACGUUAACUAUACAAGAAGCACCGGCUAACUCCGUGCCAGCAGCCGCGGUAAUACGAAGGGC
Molecule: ribosomal RNA, 502 nt
Filed under: uncultured Gammaproteobacteria bacterium
Lineage: Bacteria; Pseudomonadati; Pseudomonadota; Gammaproteobacteria
Description: bacterial SSU rRNA
Rfam family: Bacterial small subunit ribosomal RNA
Source: RNAcentral